RNAcentral lists this ribosomal RNA (112 nucleotides) under Spirochaetales bacterium. RNAcentral also lists the same sequence under 1 other name. Lineage: Bacteria; Pseudomonadati; Spirochaetota; Spirochaetia; Spirochaetales. The record is from RNAcentral.
CCCGGUGGCCACAGCGGAGGUGCCAUACCCGUUCCCAUCCCGAACACGGCAGUCAAGCCCUCCAGCGCCGAUGGUACUGCGUUCGUCGCGGGAGAGUAGGUCGCCGCCGGGC